RNAcentral lists this ribosomal RNA (467 nucleotides) under uncultured bacterium. RNAcentral describes it as "partial 16S ribosomal RNA". It matches the Rfam family "Bacterial small subunit ribosomal RNA", at positions 29 to 507 of the family's 1533-position model. The record is from RNAcentral.
ACGCACGCUGGCGGCGUGCUUAACCCCUGCCAGUCGAACGGAAAGGCCCUGCUUUUGUGGGGUGCUCGAGUGGCGAACGGGUGAGUAACACGUGAGUAACCUGCCCUUGACUUUGGGAUAACUUCAGGAAACUGGGGCUAAUACCGGAUAGGAGCUCCUGCUGCAUGGUGGGGGUUGGAAAGUUUCGGCGGUUGGGGAUGGACUCGCGGCUUAUCAGCUUGUUGGUGGGGUAGUGGCUUACCAAGGCUUUGACGGGUAGCCGGCCUGAGAGGGUGACCGGCCACAUUGGGACUGAGAUACGGCCCAGACUCCUACGGGAGGCAGCAGUGGGGAAUAUUGCACAAUGGGCGGAAGCCUGACGCAGCAACGCCGCGUGCGGGAUGACGGCCUUCGGGUUGUAAACCGCUUUCGCCUGUGACGAAGCGUGAGUGACGGUAAUGGGUAAAGAAGCACCGGCUAACUACGUG